Triticum aestivum (bread wheat) is the source of this 411-nucleotide non-coding RNA. The record is from Rfam. Lineage: Eukaryota; Viridiplantae; Streptophyta; Magnoliopsida; Poales; Poaceae.
UUAUAGUAAUCGUUCUGCUUUAAAAGGGGUUAAUGGAAUGGAGCAUGUUUUGGACCAUGUGCCACGAAAGGCCGCACACGUGCUACACACUGAUGUAUUCAACGAGUAUAUAUCCUUGACCGACAAGCCAGGGUAAUCUUUGGAAAUUUCAUUGUGACAAGGAUAGAUCAUUGAAAUUGUUGGUUUUCAACAAGAAAUGGCUAGUAAGCAUGAGUCACCAGCUCGUGUUGACUACGUCCCCCUUUGUACACACCGUCUGUCGGUCCUACCGAUUGAAUGGUCCAGUGAAGUGUUCAGAUCAUGGCGACAGGGAUGGUUUUCUGCCCCCGACAUUGUGAAAAGUCCAUUGAACCUUAUCAUUUAGAGGAAGGAGAAGUUGUAAUAAGGUUUCCGUAGGUCAAUCCACGAAAG